Molecule: RNA transcript, 4325 nt
Organism: Vitis riparia (riverbank grape)
Lineage: Eukaryota; Viridiplantae; Streptophyta; Magnoliopsida; Vitales; Vitaceae
Gene name: phenylalanine--tRNA ligase, chloroplastic/mitochondrial-like
Exons: 4
Source: RefSeq, a predicted model, not a curated record
GCUUCCACACACAUCUUCAUGCCAGCCACCACGCUACCAACAAUCCUCCUCCAUGAAAGCCCAACUCCAACACAGCAAGCAGAAAAUCUAACACGCCAACCAUCAACCUCCGCACUUGUUUCUCUUCAAAAAAUUUCGCAAUUCUGGUGAAUGAUAGAGCCAAAUCUUGGGUUAAAGCAAUUAGAGGUCUUAGACAAGAAAAUCAUUUCUCCUUUUUUGAGGAUUAAAAAAGGUGGAGGGUUAGAUUUACAAAUCAGAGAUGAUUCAUUCCUUUUAAUGAAACAACCUUAUUUCAAAUUGCCCUAAUGUGGCCUAAUAUUCAAAAUUACUGGUUAUAUUUUGGACACAUCUCAGUAGAGGUUUGGGGGAGAAAAUAGAAGAAGCAGAGAUGGUUACUUACUUCAGAGGGGCCACUGCUCGCCACCACCACUUCAUGGCUGUGCCCAUUUCACUUGCCCAAGCCACUCUCUUCUCCAAACCCUCCAUUUUACUCCACAGAAAUGCCAUCAUUGGCUUCUCCUUUUCCAUUCCUUUCUCCUCUUCUGCUGCUCACAAGUGGAGGCAACCGGUGGUCUCGGUUCUGGAGCUUGGUGGAGUCAAGAUUAGCAGAGAUGAUGUGGUGAGGGAUGAUCCUACAAACAAUGUCCUGGAUGCAAUUUUUUUGAAACUUGGAAUGCAGCUUCACAGGAGGGAUCAACACCCAAUUGGAAUUCUGAAGAAUGCAAUAUAUGAUUAUUUUGAUGCCAAUUACUCAAACAAAUUUGAUAAGUUUGACGACCUUUGCCCAAUAGUCUCCACAAAAGAGGUUUGACCAUUAAGAAAUAAAAUAGAAAUUGUAUGCAUGUUUUUUUUUCACUGUUUUGAGCUAUACAUUGCACUAUUUGGAACUUGUAUUAUCUUGCUAUGACUGGUGCUUGACAUUUUGUUGCUGUUUAUAUUUAUUUUGCUGCUCAUUUCCUGUUGGUUAGUGUCCUGUCCUAGGUGUUUUAACAUUUAAGAAUCCAUGAAAGUGGUAUUUGCAUAUGUUGCCCAUUAUUCCAUCGACGAUGUUCUAAGUAGGGAACCUAGUAUCCAAACUUCCAUCCAAACUUACAUAUAAAAAAAAAGUCCAGAACAGGCAUUCAGUUUACCAGGUUUAUCAGUUCUCUCCAGUGUUUAUUCAACUCUUAAAUGCAGUAUUCUGGACAUACUCCAAAUUUGAAAUUCCUUUGGUAAAAUAAAGGCAUGGACUUAUAGUGGUCUAUUAAGGAAAAGGUUUGUUUGACCUAGCUUUUGUACAAAAAAUUCAAGGAUAGUCUUGCAGAUAUGUAUCAUAUAGGUGUAUAUUUCUCUAUCAUGAUACAAGUGAGAAAAAAUUCAGGAAAGUUGUUUUGUUUAAAAAAAAAAUUGAAAGUUAAUUUAUGUUUUGAGAGGGACAUUAGGCAACCUAGGAUUCAAAGGGACAUGUUGUCUCUUAGGAAAAUAAAAUUAAUAGCAUUCUCAAUCACUUACAGGUUAUUUCAGUCCUUUUAUAUUGAUUUAUUUAAUUUUUUUCUUUAUUGUAGGCAAGCAAAAAAAAAUUUUACAACACCUACUAUUAUCAUUAUUUUGGUAAUUAGCAUUGAUGGAGAUUGUAAAAAUUCUCUAAUAGUAUUGCAGGAGAAAAAUAAUAUUUAUGAAUUUUUGUUAAACACAAUUGUCGUAAUGAUAAUAAUUAAUUAGAAUAAUAUAAGUUUGUAAUUGGAAAAAUUUUAAAAAAUAAAAGCUUUUGGAAAUAGUUUGAAUAGGAGUAGAAAAUUCUUGGAUUUCAUGGAGAGCUUAGGUGGGAUCUAAAGCAUGGGGCUGUUUGCUAUCUAUUUUAGUAUUUGCUGCUCUUCUCUCUUAUAGGUGUUCAGCUGCAGCUUGUAUUCUCUGAGCGUACUUGGGUUGUGCCCCCUUUUGUGUUCUUCAAUAUAAUCUUCAGGCUCAUGACUAGUGCAAUUUCUACUAAUUGAACACUUUUCACUUCAAAUAAUAUUCAGUAAUCUAAAUAGCAUUUAUCAAAUUAUUCUAACCCGCCAUUAGAUUUAUAAAGAACCCAAAAUAUGAAAUUUUCUUCUUAGGCAUGAGAAAUUGUCAUUGUUAUAAACCCCAUGUUUGUCUUGUACUUACAAGCAUAAUUAUAAAGCAUGAUCUGCAUGUCUUAUCAUGAAAUAUAACAAUGUCAUAAAAUAGAUGAUUGAUAAAAUAUUAGAAGUCCAUUGCAAAUGCUUAAUGGAACUGAAAAUUAUUACAAAGCAAGUGCAUAUUUCACUCAAACUUUUAUGCAGUAGUGGUAGCUUAUAAACUCACAACUUUGUAAUCAUGUGCUUGAAUCAAGCAAACUUAAUGGCUCUCAGCUACAACUGCUCUACAUUUUAACCAUUGUUUUAUGUUAUGGGAAUAGUGACUGAAUUACACAGUUCCAUCAUUAUAAUUUAUGCAUUGUAAUUUCAUUUGUGGGACUUAGUUUUCACAUGUGUUCACAUGUCAUAACUGUAAUUUCCCUAAUAUUAUGAGAAAGAAAAACUCUUUAAUUUUCCCUAUUUUGACUGAAACUUUAGGAACUUGGACUUUAUAUGGUGCAAAUGUAUGUUAUCAGCUAUUGCUUUUGACCAGUCAUGAGUAGAUACUAUUUAUAAAAGGACACAAAGGAGGAUAUAAUCCAAGUGCACUUGUAGUCAACAAGUUACUCUAGGCAUCAAAAUUGAAAGAAACAACAAUGAAGAAAAGCAGCAAGAAAGUGCCCCUACCUCCCAAACUCUCAAUGAACUACUAGAAGGAUCUACUGCUAUUCUAGAUAACUUCUUCUAAGCACAACUACAUGUAACAGUACUUAGCCUGUGCUAUGGUCUCAAGAGAAUUUUGAUGAUGUCUUGGUUCCUCCUGUCACGUCAGUAGAAGUUACAAUGAUACAUACUACAUUGACUCUCAAACUGUCUUGAGGUGCCACACUAGUGCUCAUCAAGCAGAGCUAUUGAGGAGGGGACACACUCAUUUCCUUGUGACUGGAGAUGUUUAUCCUAGAGAUUCCAUUGAUUCAACUCACUACCCUGUUUUUCAUCAGAUGGAAGGUGUUCGUGUCUUCUUUCCAGGUGAUUGGGAGACAUCUGGAAUGGAUGGCACGUCUUAUGCGGCUGAGGAUUUAAAGAAAUGUCUUGAGGGUUUGGUGCAGCACUUGUUUGGUAAACUUAGAUCAGGAGAUUGUCUUAAUCAGAUGCAAACUUAAUGCUAUCAGUUGAUGCUGCAGUGAGAAAUAUGAGUUAAGGAAUCAUUUAUCAGGUCGAAUAAUUCAAAAUCUGGGAAAUACUGCAAGUAAAAGGGGGGAAAAAUAAUGAAAUAAUAAAAUAAUAAAAUAAUAAAAUAAUAAAUUUAAGUGAGGAAAGCAAUUCAUUUUUUUUUUUUUUUUUUGAUCAGUAAGUAAUAUGUGUAUUGAAAAGAGGUGCUAAAGAAGCAACUCAAAAGUGGGAAAGCAAUUCAUGUUAUGCAAAAGCGGUACAGGUUGGUCAUUUAGAAGUCAAAUCAAGAUAGUCCAGAAUAAUAUAGGGAAUUAUUUGUGAUUCUCAAGGUACUUGUUAAGAAUCAUUGAUAAAUUACGUAAGGAAACAUUUAAGAGUGCUAUUAUUCUUGAAAUUUCUGAAAUCUAUCAGAAAGGUAGUUUUCAUCUUGGGGUUUACCAUAUACUGUAUAGAAUCUGUGUGGGCUAAAUCUGUUGAAAUUUGCAGGUAAUGUGGAAAUGCGCUGGAUUGAUACAUAUUUCCCUUUCACCAACCCAUCAUUUGAACUUGAGAUAUAUUUUCAGGUAUGCUUUUGAUCUGGCUGGUGGUUGCAUUUUAGCACUAUAUAUUUCGAAUUUCUUUAAAACUUUGUUUUUGAACUAAUUUUAGUAGAAACAGGCUCCAUUUCAUUUUUCUGUUUUUACCUUUUGCAAGGAAGGGUAAAAAUCAUUUAAAAAAUGUGAACUUCAGUUUAUUCCAUUGCUGGCAUGUGUGGCUUUCAUCUGUUUUUAAAGACACUAAGAUUCAUAGACUGAUGAUAUUCCAAUGCUUAUAAUAACAGUAAUGUUGAUGAUAAAAUAAUAUAAAAGUAGAAACAAAAUUAGUUGUCUCCCUUUUUUUCUCUUUUAGUUUCUUUGUUCUUCUUACCCCUCUGUUGUGGGGAGGGGGUGUGGGGCUCUUUGUCGUUGCCAAAUGUGAAAAAGAAGAUGCAUUAUGUCCUUUUAUUUUGGACUUACAGGACCUAUUAUGAAGGCAUUGCUUUCUUCAAUGUAUAUUUAUGACUUCAAGACAUUUUUGUAUUUUAUUUUAUGGCAGCAUUUUUUAGUGUCA